AAUAACUCCUCUUCUAAUCAUUUGUGUGCUCAUCACCAAAGUCUUUCUCUCUUUCAAUUCAAACAAUCCUUUCCCAUUAAUAGUUCUGCUUCUUCGGAGUACUAUUGUCAAUAUCCCUUUGCAAAAACAGAGUCAUGGAAAGACGGUACAGAUUGCUGCUUGUGGGAUGGGGUCAAUUGUGAUAUGAAAACCGGGCAAGUCACUGGACUGAACCUCUCUUGCAGCAUGCUUUAUGGCACCCUCCAUUCCAAUAAUUCUCUCUUCUCUCUUCAUCAUCUUCAGGAGCUCGAUCUCUCUUUCAAUGAUUUCAACUCCUCCCAUAUUUCUUCUCGAUUUGGCCAGUUUUCCAAUCUGACACAUCUUAAUCUAAAUAAUUCCAAUUUCGCAGGCCAAGUUCCAUUAGAAGUCUCCCGUCUCUCCAAAUUGAUUUCUCUUAAUCUCUCUGGAAACAACCAUCUAAGUGUAGAACCAGUUUCUUUUGACAAGCUUGUUCGAAACCUAACCAAGCUAAGAGAUCUCGAUUUGAGUUCUGUAAAUAUGUCUUUGGUUGCACCUAAUUCCUUGACGAAUCUGUCCUCUUCUUUGUCAUCUCUUUACCUUGGGGGUUGUGGUUUGCAAGGGAAAAUCCCGGGUAAUAUCUUUCUCCUACCAAACCUUGAAUUACUCAUUCUGCGAGACAAUGAAGGCCUCACUGGCUCUUUUCCUUCCUCCAAUGUGAGUAAUGUCCUCUGGCUGUUGGACCUUUCUAAUACAAAAAUUUCAAUUUAUCUAGAAAAUGACUCCAUCAGAAAUUUAAAGUCGUUAGAGUAUAUGUUACUUAGUAAUUGUAACAUUGUUGGGUCAAAACUAGCUCAGUUUGGUAAUCUUACACGGCUGUUUCAAUUAGACCUCUCAAAUAGUAAUAUUAGUGGUCAUAUUCCAUCUUCAUUUGGAAAUCUUGUGCAGCUUGAUUACUUGAAUCUUAGUUACAAUAAUUUUACAGGUCAGAUUCCAUCAUCACUUGGAAAUCUUGUGCAGCUCAUUUCCUUGGAUCUUAGUUCCAAUAACUUGAAAGGUCAGAUUCCUGAUUCUUUCGCUAAGCUAACCCUACUCGUAUAUUUAGAUUUAUCAAACAAUCAACUCCAAGGCCCAAUCCAUUCUCAACUAAGUACCAUUCUAGAUCUAUACCGAUUAUUUUUAUAUGGUAACUCACUCAAUGGGACGAUACCAUCCUUUUUAUUUGCUCUCCCUUCUCUACUCAAUUUGGACCUUCAUAAUAAUCAAUUCAUAGGCAAUAUAAGUGAAUUCCAACACAAUUCAUUAGAAUUUCUUGAUUUGAGCAAUAACUCCUUGCAUGGUCCAAUCCCAAGUUCAAUUUUCAAUCAAGAGAACUUGGGAGUUCUUAUUCUUGCAUCCAACAAUAAAUUGACAUGGGAGGUUCCUUCUUCAAUUUGCAAGUUAAAAUUCCUUCGAGUCCUGGACCUUUCCAACAAUAACUUGAGUGGUUCUGCACCACAAUGUUUGGGAAACUUCAGCAACAUACUCUCAAUUUUGCAUCUAGGCAUGAACAAUCUCCGAGGCACUAUUCCAUCAACAUUUUCAGAGGGAAGUAACUUGGAAUAUCUCAACCUCAAUGGCAAUGAAUUAGAAGGGAAAAUACCGUUGUCUAUUGUCAACUGCACAAUGCUGGAGUUUCUUAAUCUUGGUAACAAUAAGAUUGAGGAUACAUUCCCCUAUUUCCUAGAAAUGCUUCCGGAGCUAAAGAUUCUUGUUCUAAAAUCCAAUAAACUCCAAGGUUUUAUGAAGGGUCCGACUACUUUUAAUUCCUUCUCCAAAUUACAGAUUCUUGACAUCUCUGAAAAUAAUUUGAGCGGACCAUUGCCAGAAGAGCUUUUCAAUAGUCUUGAAGGAAUGAUGAAUGUCGAUCAAGAUAUUUACAUGACGGCAAGAAAUUACUCUGGCUACACCUAUUCCAUAAAAAUGACAUGGAAAGGGUUGGAAAUUGAGUUUGUGAAAAUCCAAAGUAUCCUCAGAGUACUUGAUUUAUCAAGUAACAGUUUCACCGGUGAGAUUCCAAAACCAAUUGGAAAGCUUAAAGGACUUCAACAACUUAACCUCUCUCACAAUUUCCUUACAGGCCAUAUCCAAUCAUCAUUAGGUUUUAACCAGUCUACAGUCAUUAGAUAUGUCUUCAAAUAUGCUUACGGGAAGGAUUCCUGUGCAGUUGACAGAUCUAACAUUUCUUGAAGUCUUAAACCUUUCACAAAACAAACUCGAGGGGCCCAUACCUGGUGGGAAGCAGUUCAACACGUUUGAUCCAAGCUCAUUUCAAGGAAACUUGGGUUUAUGUGGAUUCCCAAUGCCAACAGAAUGCAACAAUGGCGUGGUACCACCAUUACCGCCAUCAAACUUUAAUGAAGGAGAUGAUUCAACACUGUUUGAAGAUGGGUUUGGAUGGAAAGCUGUGGCAAUGGGGUAUGGAUGUGGGUUUGUAUUUGGAGUCACAAUGGGUUAUAUUGUGUUUAGAACAAGACGACCUGCAUGGUUUCAUAGGAUGGUUGAACGUCAAUGGAAUCUGAAGGCAGGAAGAACAAAGAAGAAUGCUCGCAUGUAUGGUGCAAGAAGAAAUUAAAAUAAGUUUUGCAAGCUUUUGAUAAUUUCUGUUUUUAUUAGCAAAGUUUGUGUGAGACUAUCUUUUCUUUGCUAUUUCAUUUGAUAAGUCUAACAUUUCUAAUUCUAUGAGUAUAGAACUAUAAGUAUUCAUGACUAUAGUUAUAUGUUUUUUUUUUUUUUUGCAGCACAAUUUCAAUGAAGGUUUUACCUCACGAGAUACCAAGUAGAGUUGAUAUUGGAACAACAAUAAAGUGGCAGAUUCAUAGUACUGGAUUUCUGUUGUUCAUUUUUUUUUUUUUUUUACUUCUAUGAAAAAAAGUCAAAGAAUGUAAUAGUUAAUGUAUGUUGUAGUUUAUGUUAAACUAUAAAAUCAUGCUUUAUAUUACCAAAUCAAUAUUAAUUAGUAGAGAGAAAUAGAACAAAAACAAUAAAGAAAUUAAGAACAACAAAUAUAAUUAAAUUUCUUUAAAUGUAUAAAAAAUAUUUUAUAAGUGAUAAUACUUUUAGUAUCAAACGAAGAUUUGGAAUGAAUUUCAGAACGGUAUUGUAAACCUUGAUUUGAAGAAUCUUAUCCACCUUAUCAUAAAGCUUCCUUCACAUUACACUCCUGACCUGGAAAUAACAAAUAUUUCGGUUCUCAAUUCUCUCUCUGUUCAAGCACAUGGAGUCUGAGAGACAAUGGUAGGGAAAAAGGGACCUUAUUCUGCAGUAGCACUUCUCUUAGUCUUCCAAUCUUCCUGGUGAUUUUGCAGGUUUUGUUGCUGAGUUUAAGGCUUUUAGGCCUCUAGGAACUGUGUGUUGUUACUUAUUUUUAAUCCUCACAUUAAAAAAAAUAUAUUCAUAAAAAACCAAAAAAUAAUAGCAAUGAGAAGAAGAUAUCCAAGUUUAGAGCAAUUGAGGAAUGAAUUAAUAGUUCAGAAAGAACAAGGAUUGUGCUGUAAAUGGUGCUAAAAUGCAGGGGUCUAAUUACAAAUUAUCCAGGUGCUUGAUUAUAAAAUUGUGAAACCCCAAGGACCAAAUCAAAAGAUAGAGGCAGAAUUGAAGAAAGGAGCGUUAACAACCAACAACCUCACAUCUUCGUCUGUUUCAGUUACCAACAAUUGUGCGUAAAAGUUUCAGCGCCAUCGUCUUCGUCUGUCUCAGUUACAGGUAAGUUUCAUACAUUCUUACCUGUAUUUGACUUCAUUUAUAAUUACAUAGGUACCAUGCAUCUUCAUUUAUAAUUGACUUCUUCCUGUAUAAGCCUGCUGGGUCCAGCCCUGUUACAUGGACCGAUCUGGACCCAGUCCAAAAAAAAUAAAAAACAGAGAGAUUAGUGGUUUUAUCAUGUAUUUAUUUUGUGCUUUGUAUUUUUUUAUAAAAAUAUAAAUUUGGUAUAUUAAAAUACUUGGUUUUCUAAGAAUUGUGGCAAAUGUAUGUGUGUCCAAAUUUCAUACAACAUAGAAAAUUAAAAAAUAUGUCUUAACAUGUAUUUGCGGCUUUAAUAACAAGUUUAUUAAAGUCACCAGAACUAAGUCAAUAUUUUUUUAAAAAAAAAAUUUUGUCUUCCUUUUUAAUAUCUACGAUUACAAACUUACACGUAAGACAUAUUUCUAAUAUUAAAUAAAAAUUAGUUUUUUUUGCAAUGAUUAGAAUGGUUAGAUUUUACCCUGCAAAAUAAAAAUUAGCACAACAAUAGCUUAGAAUAUAUAAAACAAUUAAAAAAUACAGUUAUCUUAGAUAGGGUGUGUUUGAAAUACUAAUAUUUUCUAUUUAUGUAACUAUUCCUUGUAUCUUAUCUUUCAUACUAGUUGCAUUUUAAUAAUCAAAAUUCUAGAUAACGACUCCCAUUAUAUUUAUAUAUAUAAAAAAAACUUGGAAUUCUUAUCUCCCUAUUUUUCCCUAUUUUUCCGGGAUACCAACAUUAAGAGUGGAUGUUACCGCCUUGACACCAGACAUGUGUGAUACUGUGCUUGAGAAUAAUCUGCCCCAUAAAGAUCCAUUUGAUCUGAUACUGAAGAAAGGUAAGCUAUUGUAGUCUUUGUAGAAAAAAUUAGUGGUGGUGAUUGAUAAUAAGGAUACAAAGAAGAUGAAGAUGAGUGUGAACUGAUUGAAGGAAGUGCUAUUUGGAAAUUUGGCUGUGGAGUUCGUUAAUUGUUCAAAAAUGAGCAGAAGACAGCUUCUGCUCCUUGCUGUGCUCCACUUGAAGUUGAUUGAAUGCUAGCAAAUAGGUAAAUGGGCCUUAGGCAUUGUGGAUUUUUUUUUUGUUGAUAUUAUCCCUCUCAAAGAUCUGAACCUGUGGUUCUAGUUCGAGGGCUUUCUUCCAUAUGGAUAUUUAUAUGGGAUCCAUUUGUUUUGUCCCUUCCCUUUUCUCACAAAUUUAAUGACAUCUUACUUCACGCAAAACUAUUACAAAAAGCUUGUCAAAGUAUACUUUUUCCACGUAAUGUGUACUUGGAGAAGCUUUUUGUACUCUAAUCAUUGAGCCUAAACAUGUUUAAGGUUUGUCUCAUGUACCAUGUAAUAUUAAUAUUGGGUUUGAUAUGAGAUUAAAAAUUUUAAGGAAAAUGUUGAGGUGACAAAAUAAUAAAUGAAGUGUAAAGAACUAAAAUGAGUUAAAAAGAUGAAGUGUUUAAGAAUUUAGAAGAUGAUGUUGAAGAAUGACAAUAUAAGAAGUUACUAAAAGAAAAAGGAUGCUCGUUUGUUUUUAGUAUUCAGCUAUUAGUCUGUCAUUAUUUUCUUUUUUAUUAUUUUUUUCUUUUUGCUUUUUUGUUAGUCCUUUCUAACUAACGUACAGCUAGUGCAACGUGGGUAGUAGGUCAUUCAUUUCUCAUGGGAUAGCAGCCCUAAGGUGUAUAUAUAUAUGUAUACAAGUUUGCAUUCUUUAGCAAGUAAUACAGAGAAUAAAUUUGUAUCAUGAGUUUCGUGAGUUAACCUGAGUUAAUUUAAGUUAUUUUUUUUAUAUUUGUUGUUUAAUUAUAUAUAUUUUUUAAUUUUAUCCUUUAACAUAAAAUUGAUUAAAAAUUAAAUUUCAUAAUUUGUUUUGAUUUAUUUUCUAUGCAGUUAUUCUAGUUAUAUGAUCAAAGUUGCAAGUUUAGCAGGUUUGUCAAAGUUGACUCAAGUUACUUGUUUUUUUAUUGGAUUUUUUUUUAAAAUUUAUCUUUCAAUAUUAUGCUAAUAGAUCAACUCAAACUCAACUUAUUUUAAAAGUUGAAACCCAAUCCAUCCUCCUUCUUGGUAAAGAAAUCAAAGGAAGUUCUAAUAAGAGCAAAAGUUGAAUCUAUUAGAACAUAGACUUGCUGCAAAUGUAAGGAUAUUAUCUACUCUUGAAAAAAAUGAUAAUUUUAAAAAUUAAUAUUGCCGUGUUUCCAACAUUCUUGUAUAGUCAACAAAGGGAUCUUAUUGUAUGGAAAUAUUUGCAAUUGAAUAAUUCAACCAAUCUUUGUCAGUUCUAGUACGCUGCUCUGUUUUCCGGUAAUGGUUCAGUAAUGUUAUUCCUAAACUUUCACUAAAUAUUUUCUUUAAUUUCCGGUACGCUGCUCUGAAAUUCCUUCAAGUCUAACUUGUAAAAUAAUAGUUUGAGCGGUUCUACACUCAAACAAUUCUAGGCAAAAUUAUCUGUGUUUUGAAAAUUCUUGAAUUAUUUGUAGCUUUCAAUUUUUUUUUAGAUUAUUUUGAUGUGUUGGGUUAAAAAUAAUAUUUUUUUAAAAAAUAUUAUUUGAUAUAUUUUUAAACAAAAAAUAUUUUAAAAACAACUUUUAUUAUAUUUUUAAAGAGAUAAUUAUUCAACUAAGGGACCUAUUUGAUAGUCUUAUGUCUCAGCUAAGGAUGCUUCACCCUCCCAAACAUUCCUGGGAUAUUUGAAAGUAUUGUAAUGAUUAUUUUUUAAAAUACUUUUCAUUUUAAAAUAUAUCAAAAUAAUAUUUUAUUAUUAUUUUUUAAAAAAUUAUUUUUAACAUCAGCAUAUUAAAAUGAUCUAAAAAUAUCAAAAAAAAAAUUAAAACAAAUAAAAAAAUUUUAAAUUUUUUAAAAAAAAACAAUUCUAAAACACAAUAUUUCUCCCCGCAAUGAGAAAGAUCAAACACACAAUAAUGACUUUGAUUUCCUCAUGCACCCAUUCCUAGGAUUGGUUUGUCUAUAUGCCUUUGAAAAAUAAUUAAACUGCUAUGCGUUACCGAGCGCACGCAAAGAGUACGAUACAUAAGUGCAAAGUCAUUAGUGCCCCCAUUGCUUUGCGUAAUUAUUUCUUUGCCAAUAAACAACAAUUUAGUUUGCGAUAUUUGAAGUCAAUAUGAUAGGAACCUUACAUAUUCCGAUGGUUUUUAUCUUCCUUUAUUUUUUUAAUUAUUAAAUCCUAAAAAUUAUUUUUUAAUUAAAAAUACAUCAAAAUAACAUAUUAUAAAAAAUGACAUCAACAUAUUAUAAGCAUUAAAAAUCUUAUAAAAAAAUAUAAAAAAACAUCAAUUUGAUACUUUUACAAUACCGCUAAACAAGCUAAAAAAAGAGUUUUAAUUAGAAUUAUAGGCCUCCUGCUGUGCUAUAAGGCUUUAUCUAUCUAUUUUUAUGAUUUUUAAUAUAAAAGGAUAUAGUAUUGUGCAAGUGAUAUUGUCCCUAAGUGAAUAAAAUUCUUCAUAAAUAUUUGGCACAAUCUUAUAUUUGAUAAAUUUCAAAUCAUUGAUAAUUUAUAUUUGAAAAAUCAACUUUUUGAUGACAACAUCAUGAUCAUCUUGUUCAAUAAUUAGGAUUAAUUCAUCAGUUUCAAGUAACAUCUUUCCAUAUCCUUAGGAGUAUAAAAGUCUUCUAAGGACCUAUUAUAUUUCAAUCACCAUUAAAUUUUAUAAUGGAUAUUUAUCCCUCAUUAAUAUUGUGCAAUUUAUUCCUCGCAUAAUGUUGUAUAAGAUAUAUUUAUCUUUUAUUAUUGCUAUAAAAAGGAAAUGACUUUUCAGGCCCUUAACUCCAGCAAAAUAACAAGGUUCUGGGGCUAUAAAUACUCAUUGAACUAUCUAGGUAAAGGGUUUACAAUCUUUAUUUUUUACUAUAUACAUAUUUUUUAAUUAUUUGUUUACAUAAUCUAAUAGUUAAAUUAUUUUUUAUUUAAAAUAGAAAAAGGACAAAGGAAAAAUCGAAGUAUAUAAAUUGAAAGAUUGAUAAGCAAGAAAAAGUAUUUUUUUUUAUUGAAAUAAGCAUGAUCAAAAUUUGUCAAAAAUCUAUUUAAUUACUUUUAAUACUAAAAGGAUUAGUUAAUUUAAGAAAAAUUAGCAACCCCUGAAACACUAUUUAAUCCGUUUAGGAAAUCAUUAUUGUCGUGUUUUUAUUCUUAGAGCAUGCUAGUAUGGUGGAUGUUGCUUUUUAAAAUGUUUUUUUAUUUGGAAAUAUAUCAAAAUAGUAUUUUUGUGUUUUUUUUGUUUUUUUAAUUCAUUUUUUACAAGAAACCAAUAUUUUUAUGUUUUUACAUCGUUUUGAUAUGUUAAUGUAAAUAACGUACUGUUAACGUUGGGCGAGCUACAAAGCAAGCUCUAAUUAGCACAUAGACUUGCUGCACAUCACUCAAAUAGACUUGAUCUCAACAAAAAAAUAUUAAAGGAAAUAUUCGCAAUUGAAUAAUUCAACCCUCAGUUCCAUAUUCAGCACCACAUGAAUACUCUUCUGGACCAUUGCCUAUUGCUUUCUCUUGUUUAGUCAUCAACAAAUUAAGGGAGCUCUCCUUGCGAGGAAAUAUUCGCAAUUGAAUAAUUCAACCCUCAGUUCCCAAUUCAGCACCUCAUGAAGAGUCGACAUAUCUAUACAUCCAAGUUCCGAUCGAAGACUUGGAGGUAAAGGACAGACCAAAUGAAGAUGGUCUCCUUGUUGAUGCUGAAAGAGAAAGACCUUUUAGGACGACCAAUCCCACAGCAUCUAAUUGAGGGCAAGAACCUUCAAACUCCAUUAAUUCUCCAUUGUUUGUCUGUUUUCUAGUAACGGUUCAACAAAGGUAUUGCCAGAACGUGUCGUCUUACCUUCGGUGAAAACUGAUAUAGGAAGUGUAAUUAAUGUGAAUGAGAUUGCAAUAGUAUAAGAACAUAUUGUGAUAAAAUUAUAAGAAGGUGCUGAUUGGAAAAUGAAAUUAAAACAUGGCGAUGAAUUCACGUGAAUGAGAUUAUAAUAGUAUAAGAAGGCAUAUUGUGAUAACACAAAAAAACAAAAUGAAGGUAGAUGUUGCAGGUAACCGCAGAUUUAUCCAGCAAAAAUCUGUACAAGAGUUGCAUUAUUGUCUUUUGUUGGCAUGGAGUCUUAUAGAAGACGAGGACGAGUGGUAGAAGUCCCCAGCAACGUACACUUCCCAUAAGACGAGCUGCAGAGGAAGAGCACAAACUGUAUCUAUUAGCACAUGUUCAUUGCUAUUUUCUGGAAACAUAUAAAUUGUUUAACCCUUCAAGUAAACAGUCCCCUGUUCUUGUUAAUAAUAGCAAUAAUAAUCUAUCAGUAUAUGCGAAGGGUAGAUGUCCCCGAGAACAGCUGCCAUCAGACGAGCUGCAAAGGAAGUUCUAAUGAGAGCAUGAACUGUAUCUGUUAGCACAAAGACUGCUGAAAUGUCAAUUUUGGAAAUUAGUACUGCCGUGUUUCCAACGCUCACUCUUGUGUGGAAUUAUUUGCAAGUGAACCUUCAGUUCCAUGAAGAGUGGACAGUAUCUAUACAUCCAAGUUCCGAAGGCUUGGAGGUCAAGGACAGAUCACAAAAUGCAGAUUCGUUCUCCCUUGUUGAUGCUGAAAUUAAGAGAAAGACCUUUUAGGACGGACCAAUCCCAGAGCAUCUUGAGGGCAAGAACCUUCAAACUCCAUUAAUUCUCCAUUGAUUGUCAGUUUUUAGUAACUGUUCAAUAAAGCUAUUGCCAGAACGUGUUGACUGGAGACUGGAUUGAAGUGGACAUAAGAAGGUGAGGAUGACUCUUUAACUCUGCAUGCCCCUUCUUAAGCUGUGAGUAAACUACGAUCGUAAAUUAUUAAGAAGUUUUCUUCCGAUUUUGUGGCUUGAAUUUCUUGAAAUUAUAUUUUAGUGAGCAUAGCAAUCUUCGCAUAAAUCUUAUUGCUAAAUACAAUUUGGAAAAACAUCUCUGAACAUUCAAAUUAAGCUGUCACGAUUUUUUUUUUUUUUAUCUUACUAUAAAUAUUUGACAAUUAACUACCUUAUUUAUUAUAAUUAGCACUUGUGUUAGUGAAUUAAGGGACUUCUCCUGUGUGGAAAUAUUCGCUGAAUAAUUUAUUGGUUACUUAAUCUUGUUGUACAGCGCGGAUUGGACAUAAGAAGGUGAAGAUGACUUUGUUUAUCAUUUUCUUUUUCAAUUAUGUACACAUAAUCCCAUAGUUUAAAUUAUUUAUUAUUUAGAAUAGAAAAAGGAAAAAUCAAAGUAUAUCAAUUGAAGGAAUGAUAACCAAGAAAAGUAUUUAAAAAAAAAAACAAAAUAUUACUAAUCAAGAUUUGUCAUCAAAUAACUAUUUAGUUAUUUUAAUACUAAAAGGAUUCAUUAAUUUAAGAAAUAUUAGCAACCUCUAAAACACUAUUUAAUCCAUUUAGAAUAUCAAUAUUGAUUUUUAUAUAUAUUUUUUAUAAUUUUAAUGAAUUAAUAUCAAAAAUUAAAAAUAAAAUUUAAAAAACAUCAUAUUAAUAUAUUUUCAAUUAAAAAACAUCUUUACAAAAUAAUUAAUUGUAGUGCAUAUUAUACAAAAAAACUUACAGCGUAGUGCACCUAUAUAGUAUUAUCCACUGUUAAAAAAUGUCAAUUCUAGAAAUUAAUUUUGCCGUGUUUCCAACACUCUUGUAUAGUCAACAACAAAGUGACGACGAUUGGUUUUCCCUUGUUGAUGCUGGAAAAGAAAGAUCGUUUAGGCCUACACUAACUUGGUAAUCUUGAGGGCAAGAACCUCGAAACUCCAAUCUUUGACAGUUUUAGCACGCUGCUCUGUUUUCCGGUAAUGCUUCAGUCAACUAAGGGACAGUAUAUCCUGUGUGGAAAUAUUUGCAAUUGAAUUCAGUUUCAUAUACAAUAUAUCCUGAACAUUCGUUUUCCUUGUUGAUGGUCAAGGCAAGCUUCGCAGAAAUUUCAUUGCUAAAUACAGUUUAGAAAAACAUCUCUGCACUAAGUUGUUAGUGCUCAAGAAAUUUCAUUUCUUACACAAUUUUUUUUAUAUAUAAAAUGACUUUGGGGUCAAGAAAAAGGACAGACCAAGUUGUUAGUACUCAAGGUUGUUUUUUUUUUUUUUACAGAAACUGAAUGAACAGAAGAAUCGAAGAUUGGUUUGUCUAUAAAUACUACUAAUGGUGCCUUUCUUUAUUUCUCAUCUCUCCCCAAUCGUUCAGCAUUCCAUAUAUACUUUGAAUCCUGAAGAGCCAACAUGAAGUUUUCAUUAUCCUUCACUCAAUUUCUCUGUUCCAUUUUGUUUCUCUUCCAUUUUCAUACAACAAUUUCAUCAUCAUUCUCCUCAAAUCACUCCUCUUCUAAUCAUUUGUGUGCUCAUCACCAAAGUCUUUCUCUCCUUCAAUUCAAACAAUCCUUUUCCAUUAAAAAUUCUAGGCAGGUUUGCCGAUAUCCCAAGACAGAGUCAUGGAAAGACGGUACAGAUUGCUGCUUGUGGGAUGGGAUCACUUGUGAUAUGAAAACCGGGCAAGUCACUGGACUGAACCUCUCUUGCAGCAUGCUUAAUGGCACCCUCCAUUCCAAUAAUUCUCUCUUCUCUCUUCAUCAUCUUCAGGAGCUCGAUCUCUCUUUCAAUGAUUUCAACUCCUCCCAUAUUUCUUCUCGAUUUGGCCAGUUUUCCAAUCUGACACAUCUUCAUCUAAUGUCUUCCAAUUUCGCAGGCCAAGUUCCAUUAGAAGUCUCCCGUCUCUCCAAAUUGGUUUCUCUUGAUCUCUCUGAAAACUACGAUCUAAGUGUAGGACCAAUUUCUUUUGACAAGCUUGUUCGAAACCUAACCAAGCUUAGACAGCUCGAUUUGAGUUUGGUAGACAUGUCACUGGUUGUACCCAGUUCCUUGAUGAAUCUGUCUUCUUCUUUGUCAUUUCUUUCCCUUGAAUAUUGUAACCUGCAAGGAAAAUUCCCAUCCUCAAUGGGAAACCAUAAGCACC
This 11671-nucleotide long non-coding RNA is filed under the name Populus tremula. RNAcentral describes it as "long non-coding RNA (PTRE_LNC000688)". Lineage: Eukaryota; Viridiplantae; Streptophyta; Magnoliopsida; Malpighiales; Salicaceae. The record is from RNAcentral.